GGAAAAGUGGCUGAGAGGCUGAUAGCGUUGGCUUGCUAAGUCAAUAUAUCUUUUAAAGAUAUCGCGGGUUCGAAUCCCGCUUUUUCCG
This 88-nucleotide transfer RNA is filed under the name Bulbochaete rectangularis var. hiloensis. RNAcentral's name for it is "tRNA-Ser". It matches the Rfam family "tRNA". From Rfam's summary of the family: Transfer RNA (tRNA) molecules are approximately 80 nucleotides in length. Their secondary structure includes four short double-helical elements and three loops (D, anti-codon, and T loops). Further hydrogen bonds mediate the characteristic L-shaped molecular structure. tRNAs have two regions of fundamental functional importance: the anti-codon, which is responsible for specific mRNA codon recognition, and the 3' end, to which the tRNAs corresponding amino acid is attached (by aminoacyl-tRNA synthetases). tRNAs cope with the degeneracy of the genetic code in two manners: having more than one tRNA (with a specific anti-codon) for a particular amino acid; and 'wobble' base-pairing, i.e. permitting non-standard base-pairing at the 3rd anti-codon position. Lineage: Eukaryota; Viridiplantae; Chlorophyta; Chlorophyceae; Oedogoniales; Oedogoniaceae. The record is from RNAcentral.